UACGAAGGGGGCUAGCGUUGUUCGGAAUUACUGGGCGUAAAGCGCACGUAGGCGGAUUAGUAAGUCAGGGGUGAAAUCCCGGGGCUCAACCUCGGAGCUGCCUUUGAUACUGCUGAUCUCGAGUCCGGAAGAGGUGAGUGGAAUUCCUAGUGUAGAGGUGAAAUUCGUAGAUAUUAGGAAGAAUACCAGUGGCGAAGGCGGCUCACUGGUCCGGUACUGACGCUGAGGUGCGAAAGCGUGGGUAGCAAACAGG
Molecule: ribosomal RNA, 253 nt
Filed under: uncultured bacterium
Lineage: Bacteria
Description: partial 16S ribosomal RNA
Rfam family: Bacterial small subunit ribosomal RNA
Source: RNAcentral